UACGGAGGAUGCGAGCGUUAUCCGGAUUUAUUGGGUUUAAAGGGUGCGUAGGCGGCUUUUUAAGUCAGCGGUGAAAUUUUGCAGCUUAACUGUAACAGUGCCGUUGAUACUGUUUGGCUAGGAUUUGGUUGUAGUGUGCGGAAUGUGUGGUGUAGCGGUGAAAUGCUUAGAUAUCACACAGAACACCGAUUGCGAAGGCAGCACACUAAGUCAUUAUUGACGCUGAGGCACGAAAGUGUGGGGAUCAAACAGGAUUAGA
RNAcentral lists this ribosomal RNA (259 nucleotides) under uncultured prokaryote. Its description in RNAcentral is "partial 16S ribosomal RNA". It matches the Rfam family "Bacterial small subunit ribosomal RNA", at positions 524 to 782 of the family's 1533-position model. The record is from RNAcentral.